This 445-nucleotide ribosomal RNA is filed under the name uncultured bacterium. Its description in RNAcentral is "bacterial SSU rRNA". It matches the Rfam family "Bacterial small subunit ribosomal RNA", at positions 354 to 796 of the family's 1533-position model. The record is from RNAcentral.
GUGAGGAAUAUUGGUCAAUGGCCGAGAGGCUGAACCAGCCAAGUAGCGUGAAGGAUGACGGCCCUACGGGUUGUAAACUUCUUUUAUAAGGGAAUAAAGUGCAUCACGCGUGGUGUUUUGUAUGUACCUUAUGAAUAAGCAUCGGCUAACUCCGUGCCAGCAGCCGCGGUAAUACGGAGGAUGCGAGCGUUAUCCGGAUUUAUUGGGUUUAAAGGGAGCGCAGGCGGACGCUUAAGUCAGUUGUGAAAUCCCGCGGCUCAACCGUGGAAUUGCAGUUGAUACUGGUUUUCUUGAGUGCGCGCGAGGAUGGUGGAAUUUGUGGUGUAGCGGUGAAAUGCUUAGAUAUCACAAAGAACUCCGAUUGCGAAGGCAGCUGUCCGGAGCGCAACUGACGCUGAGGCUCGAAGGUGCGGGUAUCAAACAGGAUUAGAUACCCUUGUAGUCC